This 1214-nucleotide ribosomal RNA is filed under the name Mileewa albovittata. Its description in RNAcentral is "16S ribosomal RNA". Lineage: Eukaryota; Metazoa; Arthropoda; Insecta; Hemiptera; Cicadellidae. The record is from RNAcentral.
UUAUUAUAUUUAUUUUUAAUUUAGUAUUAUAUUUAUAUUAUUUUUUUUUUUUUUAGUAUAUAAUUAUAAAAUUUAUAGUUUUUUUGUUAACUGUGAAGGAUUUAAUUUAAUAUAAUUAAAUAAUUAUUAGUACCUUUUGUAUCAGGGUUAAUUUAUUAAAAAAAUUAAUUAUUUUUCCCGAAUUGAAAAUAUUUAAUUUAUAAUUAAUUUAUAUAUAAUAAAAUAUUUUUUGAUUAUAUUUUAGUAAUAAAAAGUUAUUCGUUUUUCAUAUAUAUCUGGUUUUUCAAAAUUAAAUUUAAUUUAGGAUUUAUUUUAUAAUUAUUUGUUUAUUUUUAAAUCAUAAAAUUUUGGGGAAAAGCUCAAUUUUUUUUUAAAAUUCUUUUUUAUUAAUUUUUAUUAGUUUAAAAAUCUUUCAUUAAGUUCGUAAUAGAUUUAAAUUUUUAUUUAAUAUUUUUUUAUAUUUAUAUUAUUAUUGAAAUUUUUUAAUAAAUUUAUUUUUAAUAUUAAUAAUGAUUAAAUUAGUAUAAUUUUAAAUUUAUUAUAAAUGAAUUCGACAAAUAUUAUUUUCAACUGUUUAACAAAAACAUUUCUUUUAGAAAAAAAUUAAAAGUAAUUUCUGCCCAAUGAAAAUUUAAAUGGCUGCAGUAUUUUGACUGUGCAAAGGUAGCAUAAUAAUUAGUCUUUUAAUUGGAGACUGGAAUGAAAGGAUAUAUGAGCUAUAUAUUUUAUUGUUUUAAUAAUUAAAAUUUUAUUUUUAAGUAAAAAAGCUUAAUUAUAUUUUAGGGACGAAAAGACCCUAUAGAACUUUAUUAUUUAUAAAUUAAUAAAAUUUUGGUUAAUUUUAUAUAAUUAGUUAUUUGAAUUAAUUUGGUUGGGGGGACAUUUAAAUAUUUAACUUUAUUUUUUUUUUUCAUUUAUAAAUGAUUUUAUUGAUCCUUAAUAAUAGAUUAUAAGAUUAAGUUACCUUAGGGAUAACAGCGUAAUUUUAAUGGGGAGAUCAUAUCUAUAUUAAAGUUUGCGACCUCGAUGUUGAAUUAAGAUAAGUUUAAGGGGUAGUUUCUUUAUAAAUACUAAGUCUGUUCGACUUUUAAAUUCUUACAUGAUUUGAGUUCAGAUCGGUGUAAGCCAGAUCGGUUUCUAUCUUAAAAUUUUUAUAUUAUUUUAGUACGAAAGGACCAUAUAAUACUAAUUUUUUUUAGUCAUUCAAUUAAUAA